GACGAACGCUGGCGGCGUGCUUAACACAUGCAAGUCGAACGGUAAGGCCUUUCGGGGUCCACGAGUGGCGAACGGGUGAGUAACACGUUGGUGAUCUGCCCUGCACUUCGGGAUAAGCCCGGGAAACUGGGUCUAAUACCGGAUAGGACUGCGCGGUGCAUGCCGUGUGGUUGUAAGAUUUAUCGGUGCAGGAUGGGCCCGCGGCCUAUCAGCUUGUUGGUGGGGUAAUGUCCUACCAAGGCGACGACGGGUAGCCGGACUGAGAGGGCGACCGGCCACACUGGGACUGAGACACGGCCCAGACUGCUACGGGAGGCAGCGGUGGGGAAUAUUGCACAAUGGGCGCAAGCCUGAUGCAGCGACGCCGCGUGGGGGAUGACGGCCUUCGGGUUGGAAACCUCUUUCGGCAGGGACGAAGCGUGAGUGACGGUACCUGCAGAAGAAGCAACGGCCAACUACGUG
This 462-nucleotide ribosomal RNA is filed under the name uncultured bacterium. RNAcentral's name for it is "partial 16S ribosomal RNA". It matches the Rfam family "Bacterial small subunit ribosomal RNA", at positions 28 to 507 of the family's 1533-position model. The record is from RNAcentral.